Molecule: long non-coding RNA, 1971 nt
Organism: Bos taurus (domestic cattle)
Lineage: Eukaryota; Metazoa; Chordata; Mammalia; Artiodactyla; Bovidae
Source: Ensembl
AGAUCCUCCUCCUGGGGUGAAGUUUGAAAGCAUGUUAGCUCCAGGUCUAUGGUUUCAUAAUGCAGUAUACAGGGGAAGCUUUCCUAACUACUAGUAAAUGUGGUUAAUCCGUAUCAUGCUUCAGGUCUUCAUUCAUUUUAGUUUAGUUAACUGUUCUAAAUUCUAAGUCAACCCAGAUUACGAAGAUUGAUGAAUAUCAUCAGCCUCCACACCAUCUCAAACAACUGGAUAUUUGAGAGCAUCUGAAUUUUUCCAUGAAUUUUCAUCUCCAAAAUUCCAGACGUUUGGCAGUCGGUGGGCAAAACCAGGACAGGAAAAGAGAUGCAGACGCAGAGAAUGACCUGUGGACAAAAGAGGGGAAGGAGACAAUGGGACAAAUGGAGAGAGAAGCACUGACAUGUAUAUCCUUUCCUCAACACUUCCCUAAUGAUUUUCUGCUCCUGAGUAAGAAGAGGACACUUGAUCCUGUCACGGACACACUUAACAACCGUGGAGGCGCCAAGGGCCCAGAUGAUGUGGAGUUUUGUUUCAGCGUCUCAGUGGGAUGCUCAGUCCACAGCAUGAACCCCUAGGACUUGACCGGGGCACAGGCCACAUGUGGACUUCGGUGUGGCCCCACUCUCCUUGGUAUAAAAGUAAACAGUUCUCAUACCAGGGGUCAGGGCAGACUGAUUUGAUUCGAGGCUGUGUCUCAAGUCAGCCUAGGAUGGUGUGCCAAAUGUAACCAUUUUCACUGCCUCUAUCCCCAAAAGAAGAAAAGAAAUAGAAACUUCUAUUUGUGGAGAUUAGAAAGAACUCUCUAUGUAUUAACAACAUGAGCCCUAAUCCUCUGCCAUAUAUAUUGCAGGUACCUCCCAUUCUUUUCAGGUGCCUGUUUGCUUUAUUUGUGGUAUUUUUUUAAACUUGAAAAUGUUUUCCCCUUUUUUAUAGCAAAAUCUAGCAAACUUCCUCAUUAUGACCCCCCCCCCCCCCCCCGCCGCCCUGGCUUUGGAAUUAUAUAUAGAAGUCUCUUCUGCUCUAAGUAGGCUAAUAAUCAUACAUAAUAACCAUUUCUCUUAGGAAUUCCCUGGCAGGCCAGGGGUUAGGACUCGGCACUUCUACUGCCAAGGGCCUCAGUUCAAUCCCUGGUCAGGGAACUAAGAUCUUACAAGCUGCAUGGCAAAAAGAAAAAAAGCUAUAAAGCCAUAAUCAUCUCUCUGUGGAAUUAUCUUGAGUUGAGAUUUAAAAAAAGAAAACUUAGCUUUUCAGUGUAAAAUUAAGGUGGUACAUAGAAUCCCUCCAUAAUAGUGCUACAAGGGCACCAACUUAGCUUGGCCAUGAUUCCAGGGCAAACAAACCAGUCCCAGACUGGGGUGUCAAGGGUCUUGACCCUGGGAGGGAAGAUGGAACUAUCACCUCUGUUUCUGCUCCAGAUCCUACAGACAGCAGAACAUCUAACCCUGCAGACACUGUAAUAAAAAGUGGGGCCUAGCUGCUCACUGCUCAAAAGCCAAUAAAGAGGCAAGGUUGGUGGAAAGGAAAGCUUGCUUUAUUUUGGAUGCUGGCAAACUGGUGAGGCAGGGGGACGAAGGCCCAAAGGCUGACUCCCCCCACCUGACAACCAGCGGGCAAGAGCUUUUACAGGUGGAGGGAGGGGGCUCCAUGUAGAAACGACACAGUCAGUGGUGAUGAUCAUCUUGAAAUCGGUCAUCAGUGGUCUGACCAGUUUCUUCUUGAUCAUUUUAAGUACAGCAAAUCUUUAGUUCCUGGGUUCCCAUUUCUUUGAGGCCAAUUCUCAGAACUGUUGCAGCUUAUGUUGUGGCUACAGUCUGAUCACAGUAGAGUUAACUUCUUCCACCUGGGGGAGGUUUCCGUGUCUAUAAGACAGCUCACAGGAUAUGGCUCAGAAUAUUAUCUAUAGCCUUUAAGGAGGAAAGAAAGGCCCUUGACUUUGCUUACUGGCCAAAAUAUUAUUGUUUUGUCCUAUUCAAC